Non-coding RNA from Pteropus alecto (black flying fox), 106 nucleotides. Lineage: Eukaryota; Metazoa; Chordata; Mammalia; Chiroptera; Pteropodidae. The record is from Rfam.
GUGCUCGCUUCAGCACACAUAUACGAAAAUUGGAACAAUAUGGAGAAGGUUAGCAUGGCCCCUCUGCAAGCAUGACAUGCAAAUUUGUGAAGUGUUCCAUAUUUAA